CUUAUAUGAGGACACCAUUUGGUAUUUAUACCUCUUCAAGGGCUGAGAUUGUUGCGGGGACAUAGUCAAGCUGGCGAGCUCCAUGGUUUGACACAAUGAUCCCUGCUGCACCAGCUUGAAUCGCUAUCCUUGCUGCAAUUGGAUAAGUAUAGUUGACAUGGUUAGGUAUUUGUAUUAAACUUAAGUGAAGAAGACAUUUGUUUUUUCAGAUGGUAACUCACCAUCCUCUCCUGUAAUAACACCCUUGACAAGAAUCGGCAUUUUGGUGAUUGUCUGGAGCCAUUGGACAUCCUGUUUGUGUAAAUGAAAGUUAGAGCUGUUCAAAAUCAAAUUUCUGUUCUAACUACUUGGUCUUGUACCUUCCAGCUCAAGGUACGGUCAAUUUGACCAGCAACAUAUGAAGCCAAGCCAGAGUCAUUGGCCUGCAGGUGGAAACGUAAACAUAACAAGUCUGCUUUAAGACUUGUCUUGUGACAAUCAUGUUUAGACUAUAAUGCUAGCUAGUAUCUGAUGGAUGCUUACCUCGUCCAUCUUUCCGAGGUCGAGACCUUCAAAGUUUUUCAAUGUCAGGUUUGGAGGCAAAGUGAAUCUGUAGCAGGAGAACGCACAUCAAGUUAUACUUUCUGUCUAUGUAUUUGCAUAUUAAAUAACAGUCAGCUCUUGUCACAUUUAAACUGACUUGGCUUUACCUGUUCUUGAUAUCAGACUCUCUUCGGCCAAGCCUUGGGGUGUCUACAGUGAGAGCAAUGGCUUUGAACCCCGCCCUCUCGGCUCUUCUCACGAGCUGCUCAACCACUUUCCUGUUCUUGUAUACCUACUCAGAACAAUCAUAACGUGUGAGCCAUCAAGUGCGACCAGAUUUAUCGACAAGCGAGUAAGAUUGCUUACAUAGAGUUGGAAGAAACGAAUCCCUGGGCCUGUGGAAGCAACUUCUUCAACACUGGAAGUAGCCCAUGACGACAGUGUCUGAAUCGCAAACCAGAUACAUGGGUAAGCAUGGAUUUUAAGAUGAAUAAACUCCAAUCAUGGAAAAGUUAUAAGAAUCAUUCUUAAUGAUGUAAUAACAUACCAUGAUGGUUCCAGCUGCAGACGCAGCUCUAGCCGUAGCAUAUUCCCCUGUAUUAAUUUCCCAUCACAGUCGUUAGAGCUAAGCCUUAGUCUUUGUCUCUAGACGAUACUAAAAAACUAGUUUCUCAUUCUAUACGUAACUUCUUUCUACAGAAUGUUUCAAGAGAGCAGACAUCUUUACCUUCCGGGUGAGCCAUCUUUUGCAUGGCAGUAGGAGCAACCAUGAUCGGCAUGGAGAUCUUGAAACCCAAGAUGGUUGUUGUCAUAUCAAUCUUGCUCACAUCAAUCAGAAUCCUAGGCCGAAAGCUGUUAACAUUCCACAAGGUAUGCUAUAUCAGAUUCACAUCUGUUGUAAAUAAAACUAAUAACAAAAAAGUUGCGUCUUAUGAAAAAAGAAAAACUGACAGGAUCCUAGCGAAAGCAUUUCUGUUCUCUUGAAGAGUCCACUGGUCCUCUGCACCAGAGGCAUAGUAGUCGUAUACCAUCUUAGGCAACUUCUCCUUUGCAAUCGCUUCAUACUCGGUAACGUUUGUAAUCUCCAUUUUUCCAAACUGAGCCUCGCGAGAGAGAGAUGAAGGUGUUGUGAGUGGCAAAGAAACCUUAUAUAAUUUUUUUUAAUAUAUAUCUGAAAGUUUAUAUAUCUGGUUUAGAGUUAAAGUAUUUUGUGUGUUGUGACAGUUGAAAAAUUGUUGGCAAUGGAUGAGGUUCUAAAGGUGAAGAAUGGAUCAGGAGAUACGGACAAAGAUGAGACGGGAUAGUGUGUGUCUAAUUCACAAGCAACUUGUGUGUUCCUUAGUUUUUCUUUCAUAUUAUCGUUCUUAAAUAAGUAAAUAGUAAUUCGUCAGCCAAUUCUUUUCUUUUUCUUUUUGAAGGAUAUAGAAAUCCAAGAGAUGAUGAAAGUGAAGCAAUAAACCUAAUGGUAACGUUCAAGCCCAAUCUUGCUUGGACAUUUCUAUGGUAGGUAGAGCCCAAUUAACCUCUCUGGCUCUCUUUAGUCUUUACUAUUGAACUGUUGUGUUUGACUUUUGAUGAUGGUUAUACUGUGAUUUGUGAACCGAAUGCUAGUUGUGUCUAUUGUAUAAGGAAGAAGAAUGGGACUGAAGGUAGAAGUAGGCAAAUAGCAUUACAGGGAAUCUCUAGUCAUUGUUUUGUAUUUUGGAUACAAGGAGAGACAAGUCUUUUGAAAUAAAUAGCCAAAGUGAUCAAUCAGAAGAAUAUCAAUAGGUUUAAUCCAUUGCAUAGCUCUGUGUUGUUGCUGUUCUCUGUUUUUUGUGUUUGCCUCUCUAUAACUUGGGCAAAUGGCGUGGAGUUUCCCACUCGGUGAUAAUGUGGUUGCGAGUGAUCUCACUGAGAGACCUGCACCCACUAAGUGCCAUGGUUAGCUCGAACUCAUCGCGUAACAUUUGAAGAACUUUUCUGACUCCAGCUUCUCCUUCAGCAGCGAGUGAGAACACCACUGGUCUACCAAUCUGAUACAAAAUAAUGUGUUAUUAGUACUGUCAAUGGUUUCAAGCAGCUUUGUGGUAAUUUGGAAUUAUGAUGCUUACGAAUCUGAUACAAAAUAGUCUGUUAUUAGUACUCUCAAUGGUUUAAGGCAGUUUCUGAUAUCUGGAAAUAUGAUGCUUACAAAGAUCCCUGAGGCUCCAAGUGCAAGUGCCUUGAAGACAUCAGUUCCACGUCGAACACCACCGUCCAAGAAGACAGGAACUCGUCCUUGUGUCGCUUUGACAACCUGAACACACGAGAAGAGAGUUGAAAAUUUUGGACAGAACAACUUUCAUGAGAAGAAAAAUUGAUGCAUGUAGUCGACACUGAUCUUACCUCUUCAAGGGCUGAGAUUGUGGCUGGCACAUAGUCAAGCUGGCGAGCUCCAUGGUUUGACACAAUGAUCCCUGCUGCUCCAGCUUGAAUCGCUAUCCUUGCUGCAAGAGGGUAAUAAUAGUUGACAUGGUUAGGUUUUAUUGUGAAAAUAAAGUGAUGAAACAUGUGUAACUCACCAUCUUCUCCUGUAAGAACACCCUUGACAAGGAUCGGCAUGCUCGUGAUUGUCUGGAGCCACUGCACGUCCUGUUUUUUGUACAUGAAAGUUAGUGAAAAUUGAAUCAAGUUUCUGUUUCCAACUACUCGGUUUUGCUAUGCUAUCUUCUGAUUUGUUGUAUUCUCUUACCUUCCAGCUUAAAGUACGGUCAAUUUGACCAGCAACAUAUGAUGCCAAGCCAGAGUCAUUGGCCUGCAGGUUACAACACAACAAGUUCAAG
Molecule: long non-coding RNA, 3326 nt
Filed under: Brassica napus (rape)
Lineage: Eukaryota; Viridiplantae; Streptophyta; Magnoliopsida; Brassicales; Brassicaceae
Description: long non-coding RNA (BNAP_LNC000830)
Source: RNAcentral